Molecule: unclassified non-coding RNA, 28 nt
Filed under: Mus musculus (house mouse)
Lineage: Eukaryota; Metazoa; Chordata; Mammalia; Rodentia; Muridae
Description: oocyte_clustered_small_RNA13883
Source: RNAcentral
AGACCUGCUGCUGCCUGUAACAUAGUGU